AUGGAGGGCACAGGCAGCCGAUGCCCAAUUGCUCGCCUGAACACCAAACUUUGGCGCACAAGCAAAGCGCUUAGGAACUGGAGCAGGGUGCAUGUGGGCGACUUGCAACGACAACUUGGGAUUUCCACGGAGUUGAUCUUUCAGCUGGAAACUGCACAGGAGUCCUGUCAACUCACUGAAGAUGAGCGCGAGCUGCGUACCAAACUUAAGUCUAGGACAUUGGGGUUGGUCGUGCUACUUAAGAUCAAGAGAAGGCAACGCAGCAGGGUCUUAUGGCUUAAGGCUGGGGACGCCAACACAAAAAAAAUUCAUCGGAAAGCAAAUGCUCGGCACAAGAGGAACACAAUCCAUGUCUUGCAUGGGGCACAGGGGCCCGUUACCUCGCCUGAAGCAAUGACACAGUUGGCACACUCAUAUUUCACGGAGAGUUUUGGAAAAAUUCAGACUCCCACUGCCACCUUUGACUGGGAUGAGCUUGAGCAGGUGGACCUGCAUGACAUUGAUGUGGAGUUCAGCAUGGAGGAAGUUAAGGCGGCCAUUGAUGAUAUUCCGACCGACAAAGCACCGGGCCCGGAUGGUUUUUCUGGAGGCUUCUUCCGGACCUGCUGGGACACAAUUAAACAUGACCUGCGCGGCCAUCAACCAUUUGUACCACAUGGAUAG
This 663-nucleotide ribosomal RNA is filed under the name Triticum aestivum (bread wheat). Its description in RNAcentral is "partial small subunit ribosomal RNA". The record is from RNAcentral. Lineage: Eukaryota; Viridiplantae; Streptophyta; Magnoliopsida; Poales; Poaceae.